This 707-nucleotide ribosomal RNA is filed under the name uncultured Staphylococcus sp. RNAcentral describes it as "bacterial SSU rRNA". It matches the Rfam family "Bacterial small subunit ribosomal RNA", at positions 69 to 759 of the family's 1533-position model. Lineage: Bacteria; Bacillati; Bacillota; Bacilli; Caryophanales; Staphylococcaceae. The record is from RNAcentral.
ACAGACGAGGAGCUUGCUCCUCUGACGUUAGCGGCGGACGGGUGAGUAACACGUGGGUAACCUACCUAUAAGACUGGGAUAACUCCGGGAAACCGGGGCUAAUACCGGAUAACACAUGAAACCGCAUGGUUUCAUGAUGAAAGACGGUUUUGCUGUCACUUAUAGAUGGACCCGCGGCGUAUUAGCUAGUUGGUAAGGUAACGGCUUACCAAGGCAACGAUACGUAGCCGACCUGAGAGGGUGAUCGGCCACACUGGAACUGAGACACGGUCCAGACUCCUACGGGAGGCAGCAGUAGGGAAUCUUCCGCAAUGGGCGAAAGCCUGACGGAGCAACGCCGCGUGAGUGAUGAAGGUCUUCGGAUCGUAAAACUCUGUUAUUAGGGAAGAACAAGGAUGUAAGUAACUAUGCAUCCCUUGACGGUACCUAAUCAGAAAGCCACGGCUAACUACGUGCCAGCAGCCGCGGUAAUACGUAGGUGGCAAGCGUUAUCCGGAAUUAUUGGGCGUAAAGCGCGCGUAGGCGGUUUUUUAAGUCUGAUGUGAAAGCCCACGGCUCAACCGUGGAGGGUCAUUGGAUACUGGAAAACUUGAGUGCAGAAGAGGAAAGUGGAAUUCCAUGUGUAGCGGUGAAAUGCGCAGAGAUAUGGAGGAACACCAGUGGCGAAGGCGACUUUCUGGUCUGCAACUGACGCUGAUGUGCGAAAG